This 269-nucleotide ribosomal RNA is filed under the name uncultured prokaryote. RNAcentral's name for it is "partial 16S ribosomal RNA". It matches the Rfam family "Bacterial small subunit ribosomal RNA", at positions 524 to 792 of the family's 1533-position model. The record is from RNAcentral.
UACGUAGGAGGCGAGCGUUAUCCGGAUUUACUGGGCGUAAAGAGGGCGUAGGCGGCCUGUCAAGUCAGGUGUAAAAUCUCCCGGCUUAACUGGGAGGGUGCAUUUGAUACUGAUGAGCUAGAGUGCAGCAGAGGGAAGUGGAAUUCUCGGUGUAGUGGUGAAAUGCGUAGAUAUCGGGAGGAACACUAGUGGCGAAGGCGGCUUCCUGGGCUGUAACUGACGCUGAGGCCCGAAGGCGUGGGUAGCAAACAGGAUUAGAUACCCCUGUA